RNAcentral lists this ribosomal RNA (441 nucleotides) under uncultured bacterium. RNAcentral's name for it is "partial 16S ribosomal RNA". It matches the Rfam family "Bacterial small subunit ribosomal RNA", at positions 338 to 795 of the family's 1533-position model. The record is from RNAcentral.
CCUACGGGUGGCAGCAGUGGGGAAUAUUGCACAAUGGGGGAAACCCUGAUGCAGCAACGCCGCGUGAGUGAGGAAGUAUUUCGGUAUGUAAAGCUCUAUCAGCAGGGAAUAGAAAAGAAGGUACCUGAAAAAGAAGCCCCGGCUAACUACGUGCCAGCAGCCGCGGUAAUACGUAGGGGGCAAGCGUUAUCCGGAUUUACUGGGUGUAAAGGGAGCGUAGACGGAAGAACAAGUUGGUUGUGAAAUCCCUCGGCUCAACUGAGGAACUGCAACCAAAACUAUUCUCAUUGAGUGUCGGAGAGGAAAGUGGAAUUCCUAGUGUAGCGGUGAAAUGCGUAGAUAUUAGGAGGAACACCAGUGGCGAAGGCGACUUUCUGGACGAUAACUGACGUUGAGGCACGAAAGUGUGGGGAGCAAACAGGAUUAGAUACCCUAGUAGUC